UUAGUGGUGUCUGCUAGGUGCU
Molecule: non-coding RNA, 22 nt
Filed under: Rattus norvegicus (Norway rat)
Lineage: Eukaryota; Metazoa; Chordata; Mammalia; Rodentia; Muridae
Source: RNAcentral